GCCUUGGUGGCGGAACUGGCAGACGCGCAGGGCUUAGGACCCUGUGGGGUAACCCGUGAGAGUUCGACUCUCUCCCAAGGCA
RNAcentral lists this transfer RNA (82 nucleotides) under Candidatus Wildermuthbacteria bacterium RIFCSPHIGHO2_02_FULL_45_25. Its description in RNAcentral is "tRNA-Leu". It matches the Rfam family "tRNA". From Rfam's summary of the family: Transfer RNA (tRNA) molecules are approximately 80 nucleotides in length. Their secondary structure includes four short double-helical elements and three loops (D, anti-codon, and T loops). Further hydrogen bonds mediate the characteristic L-shaped molecular structure. tRNAs have two regions of fundamental functional importance: the anti-codon, which is responsible for specific mRNA codon recognition, and the 3' end, to which the tRNAs corresponding amino acid is attached (by aminoacyl-tRNA synthetases). tRNAs cope with the degeneracy of the genetic code in two manners: having more than one tRNA (with a specific anti-codon) for a particular amino acid; and 'wobble' base-pairing, i.e. permitting non-standard base-pairing at the 3rd anti-codon position. Lineage: Bacteria; Candidatus Wildermuthiibacteriota. The record is from RNAcentral. RNAcentral also lists the same sequence under 1 other name.